Cornus florida is the source of this 614-nucleotide long non-coding RNA. RefSeq lists it as uncharacterized. The record is from RefSeq and is a predicted model, not a curated record. NCBI's taxonomy places the organism in Eukaryota, Viridiplantae, Streptophyta, Magnoliopsida, Cornales, Cornaceae. The transcript has 3 exons.
AAGUGUGGUGGAAAAUUAAGUUGAAAAAUUCAAAAGGAAUAAUGGUGGACCCACCACUUAUCCUUAAAGGGCUUUGAGACCAAGUUUGGUCUCCAUUUUCUCUCUCUCCCGUAUGUAUUCUCUCUCCCUCAUUUCUUGAUUUUUUUUUUUUUUUCCUUCAUCAAAGAUUCAAACUUUGAUCUCUUCUUCAUCUUUUAGAGUUUUAAAGUGCCGUUUGCGGCAAAUUAAAAAGCGCAUCGUGAUCUUUGAUUUGAUCGGAGCAAUUCCUCGUUUGGUGCACCUUGGGAUUUCGAAAUUCUAAGGCUUGAAUUUGGGAAAAAUUGGGACUUUUCAUCAAUUUGAGGAUACGGGAAGGAAGUGGUGGACGACGCUCCUCCACAGGUUUUGAUAGGUACUCGUCAGUACCAGGCGUAGAGCUUGAUCGUGUUGAUGCAGAUACAGACACCCACUCUUCUGACUACAUAGGAUAUUCUUCCUUUUUAGCUUUGUAUUUACAUUCUGUAAUUUUAAUUAUUGUUUGGGGAUUAUUAAGGGUCCACUAGAUGGAUUCCCGAGUUGUACGGAUUGGAAGGAUUUAAAUGAUAUUAAUUUAUUAUUUAAAGUUUGAGGAUUUU